AAAAGCUGAAGAAAACUUAAAAACUCACUAAUUUCUAGGAAUCAAAGUCUGAUAAGAAAAAAAAUCAUGGAUAAUCCAAACCGUCUUCUAAAAUCUAAAGAGUGAAAGUUACCCCGCCCAGGAGAUCUAAACGCAUCCUUGAAUGAUUUUAUACCUGAAGCAAGUUCAUCAAAAAUCCUCUCUUCUGAUACUUCUUCAAAAAGUAGUUCAACUUCAAAAGAAACUCCCAAGAGUUCAAUCGCUAAAAAGGUUUCAAAAGAAUCCAAGGAUU
Molecule: long non-coding RNA, 271 nt
Organism: Belonocnema kinseyi
Lineage: Eukaryota; Metazoa; Arthropoda; Insecta; Hymenoptera; Cynipidae
Exons: 3
Source: RefSeq, a predicted model, not a curated record